Molecule: transfer RNA, 73 nt
Filed under: Nasutitermes octopilis
Lineage: Eukaryota; Metazoa; Arthropoda; Insecta; Blattodea; Termitidae
Description: tRNA-Ile
Source: RNAcentral
AAUGAUGAGCCUGAAUAAAGGACUAUCGUGAUAGGAUAAAAUAUGUAGUACAAAUCAAGAGCUACCUUCAUUA